AGCGAACGCUGGCGGCAGGCCUAACACAUGCAAGUCGAACGGAUCCUUCGGGAUUAGUGGCGGACGGGUGAGUAACACGUGGGAACGCGCCCUUUGGUUCGGAACAACUCAGGGAAACUUGAGCUAAUACCGGAUGUGCCCUUCGGGGGUAAGAUUUAUCGCCAUUGGCGCGGCCCGCGUCUGAUUAGCUAGUUGGUGAGGUAACGGCCCACCAAGGCGACGAUCAGUAGCUGGUCUGAGAGGAUGAUCAGCCACACUGGGACUGAGACACGGCCCAGACUCCUACGCGAGGCAGCAGUGGGGAGUCUUGCGCGAUGGGCGCAAGCCUAGCGCAGCCAUGCCGCGUAAAUGAUGAAGGUCUUAGGAUUGUAAAAUUCUUUCGGCGGAGACGAUAAUGACGGUACCCGCAGAAGAAGCUCCGGCUAACUUCGUG
This 433-nucleotide ribosomal RNA is filed under the name uncultured bacterium. RNAcentral describes it as "partial 16S ribosomal RNA". It matches the Rfam family "Bacterial small subunit ribosomal RNA", at positions 29 to 507 of the family's 1533-position model. The record is from RNAcentral.